Molecule: ribosomal RNA, 163 nt
Filed under: Laomedia astacina
Lineage: Eukaryota; Metazoa; Arthropoda; Malacostraca; Decapoda; Laomediidae
Description: partial 16S rRNA
Source: RNAcentral
GCUUUAUACUAUUAAUAAUUUUAGAAGAUUUAGACAAUUAAAUUUUAAAAUUAUUUUAGUAUUGUGCUGGGGCGGCAUGGAUAUUUCAAAGCAACUGUUUAAAGUUUAUAACACUUGUAUGUGUAGUUUAAUUGAUCCUUGGUAGAGAUUAAAAGAUAAAGUU